Molecule: small nucleolar RNA, 132 nt
Organism: Mus pahari (shrew mouse)
Lineage: Eukaryota; Metazoa; Chordata; Mammalia; Rodentia; Muridae
Product: small nucleolar RNA SNORA17
Exons: 1
Source: RefSeq, a predicted model, not a curated record
ACUGCUAUUAGAAUGGUUGCAGGGGUGGCUCUUCUAUCAGAUGUACACCAGCAGCUGGCAGAGAAGAGAGAGGUUAUGUCUACCCACAGUGCUCUGACAUAGGAACAUCUGAAUGAUUAGUAGCCUAACACU